This is a non-coding RNA of Pelobates cultripes (western spadefoot toad), 292 nucleotides long. NCBI's taxonomy places the organism in Eukaryota, Metazoa, Chordata, Amphibia, Anura, Pelobatidae. The record is from the annotation of a GenBank genome assembly.
AGAGUAUCGCCUUGAAUCCACAGGAACAAAUAUCGCUGGUAUCGCCAAAUAAUCCACACAUGAGCCAAAGCUUAAUGCUGGAACAAGACUGAUUUAAUGGAAGCAACAGGCCUUCAAUUUAUACAGUACCAGCUCCUCCUCUGGGCCAGGCUAGAUAAUUGAGUAUCAGCAACAUACUUAACUCAAUUAUCUGCUUGCCAGAAAUAUUAAAAAUUUUCAACAUUUUUAGAAAUAUACUUUUUACAUGAUAUAACAAUAUAAAAAACACAUCCCUGGGUAGCUGAGGAUACUG